GGAUGUGAGGGUGAUCUGGCUGUGAAAUCUGUCAUGCCAUUAUCAUCAGGGUUAAUCUAGCUGAUCUGGCUGGCUAGGCAGGUACUCUUUUCACUCCAUCAGUUC
RNAcentral lists this small nuclear RNA (105 nucleotides) under Neotoma lepida (desert woodrat). Its description in RNAcentral is "7SK RNA". It matches the Rfam family "7SK RNA", at positions 1 to 107 of the family's 331-position model. Rfam says of the family: 7SK was discovered as an abundant small nuclear RNA in the mid-70s but a possible function has only recently been suggested. Two independent studies have found that 7SK RNA binds the CDK9/cyclin T complex (known as elongation factor P-TEFb). The record is from Rfam by way of RNAcentral. Lineage: Eukaryota; Metazoa; Chordata; Mammalia; Rodentia; Cricetidae.